This is a long non-coding RNA of Homo sapiens (human), 4027 nucleotides long. RefSeq annotates it as RUNX3 antisense RNA 1. The record is from RefSeq and is marked validated. Lineage: Eukaryota; Metazoa; Chordata; Mammalia; Primates; Hominidae. The transcript has 6 exons.
GCGGAGGAGGCCCCAGUGCCACAGCCCAGGGCCCCCGAGAGCUCUGGGAGCCCGGGGCAAAUGCUAGAAAUUUGCUUAGAACGUCCGGGUCCCACGGAAGGCGCCCUUGCCGCCCUCUCUCGGGUCGUAGCUCCCUGACGCUGGGGCGCAACCCCUUCGCUCCUCCUCCCCGCUGGCCGCGGCCGGGCUUCCCCAGCUCUUGCUGCUUCGGGCCUGUGACUUCUGCAACCCCGGGCUGGGGGCCGCGGGGUCUCAGGGCCGGUGACGCCGCACUGGGAGCCGCCCCAAAGAGGUUACUCACCUCCCUCGUCCCGCACAUUAUUCUGACCCAAGAGCCUCCACCCCACACGGGAUUUUGCGCGUCGUCCACGCCCGGCCGGCGGCCUUUGCUGCUCCCAGCCCUGCGCGGCUUUGGUCCCAGCCUCGGUGGCCCCUGUGCCAAACCGGGGACAGGCGGAAGGGAGUCUCCUAGGGACCCUAAGUAGCCUGGGGCCAACAACCCCUUUCCUCUCUGCUCUCCCCUCAAAACAAGUUUCAGGAUCUUGCAGGCCUCGCGGCGUCGUUCUUCGUUGUGGCGGCCUGUGGCUCUUUGAAAAACACGACGAGGCCUGCAAAAUGCGUUUUUCUUUUUUUCCUUUACGCAUGUAACCACGGUCCUGCAUCGUGAAACGGUACGCGCGUCGGUGGCAAAAGAAAAACAGCAGUGGCUGCAAAGCUAAGGGCCCUCGCUUUCAGAGGAGAGAAUUUUCUUUCUCCAUGCGGGUGGAAAGUGGCCUCUGCGGGUCCAACCCCACUUCUUCUUGGGCCCGUGCGCUCCGGCUGCGCCGCAGGGACCGCGGACAGCUUCGCCAAGGCACUGCCUGCCCGCCCGGCUCCGGGUCCCCGCUCCCACUCCCAGCCGCGUGGCCCAACCUCUCCUGGGCUUCACUGCAAAUCACCCCUUCCUCUCCCGCCUCCUAAGUCUGUCGAGCAGACCUAGGGGCCGGCUACAGUUGGGAGGGCAACGGGAAAGAUCAAGCCACAAUCAUUCCGAAUUAUCGCCCCAGACACCUCCCUAGACUCUGGGGAACGAACGCGUGCUGAGCCUCCCCGCCGCUUUGGAGACGGGGCUAGAUUUUCGUUGCCUCCGGCUCUCGACAGGUGCAAAACAAUGAAUUCCAAGCCUCGGAAGCAAAGAAGCUUAGGAUCCGACGGUGGCCGCAAGAUCUCAUCAUGGAUCUGACCCCUGCUCAGCGCGCGCCAUUUCGUCGUUGCCAAACGAAAUCAAGCCCCGCGUGCGCUCCAGGGGCGAAGGACUCUGGACUCACCCCGACCACCGGGAGAGCUGGCCCCUACCCACCUCGGGACCUCACAGCACGCCCUCAGGCCGUGUCGAAAGGAAGGACGGCAAAGGUCCCUUACUGAACCUUUUAAGAGAGCCUGCGCCUGGCAGUUGUCGAUUGCGGACCCAGGCCCGCGCGCCCUCGGACGCGCUGGCACGAGCAGCAGAACUAGAGGAAAGCGAGUGAUCCAGCCUGGGCGCUCCCACCUCCGGGAACGUCUCCGAGAAGGCGCAGCGCGUCGUGGCCAGGCCCUCUUUGCCCUUCUGACUUCAGGACACAAUGUUCUGUGUCCUCCGGAGGACACAGCCAGAAGACACUGCCUUGGAAACAGGGAGUCCAGGACCUCACCAGAUGCGGAACCUGCCAGAGCCUUGAUCUUGGACUUCCCAGUCUCCAGAACCAUGUGUAUGAGAAGGGCUGAAUAUCACCUGUGAGCCUGCCCCUGCUCCCAAGAACACCCUUUGGACACCUGUGGGCUCUGCAAGGUUGGUGUAACCCCUACAGAUGAGGAAACCAGAGACAGAGAAGUGAAGUAACUCAUGCAGGUGACGGCAGAGGGCAGAGUCAGGACUUGAACCUGGAGAGCCUGGCUCUAAAGCCCAAGCUGGAAUCUCGAUACUCUACACCUCGAUAAGUUUUUGGGAAAUGACUGACUAAACAGAUGAACGCGUUUGCCCCCCCGCCGCCCCAGAGCCCCCUUAAAGCCUACAUGUGGCAGUUUGGGCCCAUUUCCUUGGCUUCCCUCCCUGGAGGGGCACCCACUGCCAGUGUCCCUGCUGAAAUUUAGCAUCAUAUUCCAUGGCGAUUUUCCACCAGUGGAAAUCACAGGUGUUCUCUGGUAUCACAGCGGGGUCAGGGAUGACCUGAAAUAUUGUUCAUGCUCAUCACAACUGCAUGGCCCACCGCGGGGUCUUGUCACUCAGUGAGUUCUUGAAGAGGCACAGACAAAUGGAGUUCAACAAAUGGAAAACAACUGCCUUUAAUUAGCUCCGAGGACUACAAAGGGAACAACGUUAUAAUAGCAGCAACUCCAAGGAAGCAGCCACAGCUCUCAGCUCUCAGACCUGGGGCUGCCGCUCAUCAUCAGCUACAGCUAGGUUUGAUGGGAGUGCCCCCAUUUCAGGGGACAGCAGGCCCCCUUCACUCCCCGACUCAGUCCCCAUCUGCAGCAGCACAGCCUUCCUUGGCCUCACCAGGGAAGAAGAACAGGCCCCGCUCUCAGACAAGCCUUCCCAGAAGCCUGAGGACUCAAACACCCAAAUGUGUCUGGGUCCCUGCCCCGAGCCGGCCACCCAGGCAGCAGCCCUGAAUCACUCGGUCAGCCAGCGGCAGGGCAGGCCAAUGGGCUGGAGGGUAGGCAGGCAGGCAGACCCACCUCUGCAUCUCUGCUGACUGCCUCGGCUGAGGAAAGGCAGCACCAGCCCCCAACCCUGAAGUUCUAGAUCUCAUGCAGCCUCUCUGUUCUGGAACCAUCCAGAGGCACUGCCCUUAUACAUGGUCCACCCCCAGGCUCAGACAAUGAGAAUUCCACAAGCAGAGGGGACUCUAUUUGGGGCACAGAGAGGUUAAGUAACUCCCCUCCUAAGGUCUCUCAGCAAGGAAGCCACUGAGCCGUGGGACUUGAGCUCAGGGACUCUUGAUCCCCAGUCUCAGGUGUCACAGCCCCAUCUGGGCUCCUGCUAGGGAGGAGGAAGGCAGCAGGGGGUGUCUGAGGCCAGGGUGCAUCAGCCCUAAAUGCCAGACAGAGGCAGGAGAAGUCUCCCCAUGAGUCCCAGCCCCAUUAGAGGCUCCAGGUCGGGGAUCCCAGACCCCCUAUCCUUGCUGGGAGACACAACCCAGAACUCUGCAUCCCUGCAGCCACCAAAAAAGGCAAAAGCUGCCCAGAAACACUUUCUCCUCUUCCGUGGCCAAAUCCACGAACUUUCUCGAGGUCUGUCCCCCUGCCCCGUGCAGGUCCAGCUUCAGUGCAGCCCAGCUCUGUGCAGUUUUCCACAAAAGCCUGUGGCUUCCUUCUCCUCCCUCUGCUUCUGAUACCCCAGGAGUUACACACAAAAUGUUGGCGGUGGUCUCCAGGAAGACCCCUGCAUCCCACAGCUCUCCCCAGAAGUUGCCAGCAGUGACCUCCUGAGCCCAGGUGGGGAGUCCCAGGCAGGACAGGGGCUGGGGCUGCAGGCCCUGGGGCCCUGUUAGUGAAGCAGCAAGCCGAGGGUCCCUGAGAGUUUCCCUUGGCCCCUCUGAGGGCUGCCCUUUGAGGUCUUGAGGUCUUGGAGUAUCCAUCGCCCCCACGGCUUACUGUCCCCACCAGCGGAGGAUGAAAGUGCCACAGCGAUGUUCCACGCCAAGAGACCACAGAGACCACCAACCCCUCUUCCCACCUCAGGCUUUCAGAGGCCAGCGGAUUUAGGCGGACAGGCUGUGCGCUUGAGGGCAGCCAGGGCGGUCAGUGGAGGGACGUGGUCCGGGGCCUGGCCACAGCUCCCCACCCAGGGCCCUGGGCUAUUGUUACUCACCGCGGAUGAAGGUCGGCGAGUAGGUCGGGAAGGAGUCGAAGAUGCUGUUCGAUGCCAUGCCCCGCUCUGAAGAAGGCGAGAAUUUUCAGCCCUUCAGGGGGUUGGGUUGGGAUUCACUUGGUUGGCUGUUGUUUUAUUUUUUUUUCCUCUAGCUACUUUUGAAAAUAAAAGGGGGGGGUGUUGCUUUUUGUUGUU